UUAAUAAUGAUUAGGACACAGAUGACGGCUCUAUGCAGCUUUGGUAACACAGAGAGGAAACUACAACCCUGUUUUCAUCCAAACAAACGGUCCUUAACGAUCAGUAGACGGCAUUACCUCGAAUGUGGACCCAGUUAGUGAGCGAAGCUUUAGGGACCGUCUGCAAAGUGCUAACCAGAAAAUUUCUACUUAUUUAAAAUUCAGUAACUUUUCUUCUACUCAGUGAAAUGGCACCAGAUUUAUGUGACACACCCAUGGACCCCUUCUGAACACACUACACCACUCAGAUUGGACAAAUAUCAUACACAGAUUAGCCAAAAUAUAAUAUGAGGUACAUCUGUAUUUAAAUGGGUCUAUAUAGUGUCACCAAAUGAUGUAUUGCUUGCUUAUUUGUCUAAGGGUUUGUUUACAUGUUUGCAGGGAAAUAUAUAUA
Sphaeramia orbicularis (orbiculate cardinalfish) is the source of this 433-nucleotide long non-coding RNA. RefSeq lists it as uncharacterized. The transcript has 3 exons. NCBI's taxonomy places the organism in Eukaryota, Metazoa, Chordata, Actinopteri, Kurtiformes, Apogonidae. The record is from RefSeq and is a predicted model, not a curated record.